CGUGUAGGCGGUUUGAUUAGUCUGAUGUGAAAGCCCUGGGCUCAACCCAGGAAGUGCAUUGGAAACUGUCAGACUUGAAUACGGGAGAGGGUAGUGGAAUUCCUAGUGUAGGAGUGAAAUCCGUAGAUAUUAGGAGGAACACCGGUGGCGAAGGCGGCUACCUGGACCGAUAUUGACGCUGAGACGCGAAAGCGUGGGUAGCAAACA
RNAcentral lists this ribosomal RNA (207 nucleotides) under uncultured delta proteobacterium. Its description in RNAcentral is "partial 16S ribosomal RNA". It matches the Rfam family "Bacterial small subunit ribosomal RNA", at positions 568 to 774 of the family's 1533-position model. Lineage: Bacteria; Deltaproteobacteria. The record is from RNAcentral.